AGAGUUUGAUCCUGGCUCAGGAUGAACGCUAGCGGCGCGCCUUAUGCAUGCAAGUCGUACGGUUUCUCGCAAGAGAGACAGUGGCAAACGGGUGAGUAAUAGUUAGGUAACCUGCCUUUAAGUGGGGGAUAACACUUCGAAAGAAGUGCUGAUACCGCAUGUGGUGCUCUUUCAUAAGAAGGAUCACUAAAACCGCAAGGUGCUUGAAGAGGGGCCUGACCCCGAUUAGCUAGUUGGUGAGGUAACGGCCCACCAAGGCUGGGAUCGGUAGCUGGUCUGAGAGGAUGGUCAGCCACACUGGGACUGAGACACGGCCCAGACUCCUACGGGAGGCAGCAGCAAGGAAUCUUGGGCAAUGGGCGAAAGCCUGACCCAGCGACGCCGCGUGAGGGAUGAAGGCCUUCGGGUUGUAAACCUCUUUUCUCAGGGAAGAAUAAUGACGGUACCUGAGGAAUAAGUCUCGGCUAACUACGUGCCAGCAGCCGCGGUAAUACGUAGGAGGCGAGCGUUAUCCGGAUUUAUUGGGCGUAAAGUGGGCGUAGGUGGUCUUUCAAGUCAGAUGUGAAAUCUCCCGGCUUAACUGGGAGGGGUCAUCUGAUACUGUUGGACUUGAGUACAGCAGGGGAAAAUGGAAUUCCCGGUGUAGUGGUGAAAUGCGUAGAUAUCGGGAGGAACACCAGAGGCGAAGGCGAUUUUCCAGGCUGAAACUGACACUGAGGCCCGAAAGCGUGGGGAGCGAACAGGAUUAGAUACCCUGGUAGUCCACGCCUUAAACUAUGGGUACUAGGUAUAGGGAGUAUCGACCCUCUCUGUGCCGAAGCUAACGCUUUAAGUACCCCGCCUGGGGAGUACGGUCGCAAGACUAAAACUCAAAGGAAUUGACGG
RNAcentral lists this ribosomal RNA (885 nucleotides) under uncultured bacterium. RNAcentral describes it as "bacterial SSU rRNA". It matches the Rfam family "Bacterial small subunit ribosomal RNA", at positions 8 to 916 of the family's 1533-position model. The record is from RNAcentral.